This 408-nucleotide ribosomal RNA is filed under the name uncultured Methylomirabilota bacterium. RNAcentral's name for it is "bacterial SSU rRNA". It matches the Rfam family "Bacterial small subunit ribosomal RNA", at positions 1027 to 1434 of the family's 1533-position model. The record is from RNAcentral. Lineage: Bacteria; Methylomirabilota (SeqCode).
CGUGGAGACAGGUGGUGCAUGGCUGUCGUCAGCUCGUGUCGUGAGAUGUUGGGUUAAGUCCCGCAACGAGCGCAACCCUCACCCCUUGUUGCCAUCAGGUCACGCUGGGCACUCUAGGGGAACUGCCCCGGUCAACGGGGAGGAAGGUGGGGACGACGUCAAGUCAUCAUGCCCCUUACGCCCUGGGCUACACACGUGCUACAAUGGCCGGUACAAAGGGAUGCAAGACCGUGAGGUGGAGCUAAACCCAAAAAGCCGGUCUAAGUUCAGAUUGGAGUCUGCAACUCGACUCCAUGAAGGAGGAAUCGCUAGUAAUCGCGCAUCAGCACGGCGCGGUGAAUACGUUCCCGGGCCUUGUACACACCGCCCGUCACACCAUGAAAGCCAGCUGUACUCGAAGUCGCUGAG